Molecule: microRNA precursor, 61 nt
Filed under: Anolis carolinensis (green anole)
Lineage: Eukaryota; Metazoa; Chordata; Lepidosauria; Squamata; Anolidae
Description: Aca-Mir-26-P2_pre stem-loop
Source: RNAcentral
UUCAAGUAAUCCAGGAUAGGCUGUGGGUACUGAUGUCAGCCUGUUCUUGAUUACUUGGCCU